GAUAUGGCUCAGAAUCAACGCUGGCGGCGUGCCUAACACAUGCAAGUCGAACGAGAAAGUGGGGGCAACCCUGCGAGUACAGUGGCAGACGGGUGAGUAACACGUGAACAACCUACCCUUGAGUGGGGAAUAACACCGCGAAAGCGGUGCUAAUACCGCAUAACAUCUUUGGGUUGCAUGACCUGGAGAUCAAAAGCGCAAGUUGCUUGAGGAGGGGUUCGCGUCUGAUUAGCUAGUUGGUGAGGUAACGGCCCACCAAGGCAACGAUCAGUAGCCGGCCUGAGAGGGCGGACGGCCACACUGGAACUGAGACACGGUCCAGACUCCUACGGGAGGCAGCAGUGGGGAAUUUUGCGCAAUGGACGAAAGUCUGACGCAGCAACGCCGCCGUGGAGGAUGAAGGCCUUCGGGUCGUAAACUCCUGUCGAUGGGGACGAAGGCCUCGCGAGAGGUUUGACUGUACCCGUUGAGGAAGCCACGGCUAACUCCGUGCCAGCAGCUGC
This 503-nucleotide ribosomal RNA is filed under the name uncultured bacterium. RNAcentral's name for it is "bacterial SSU rRNA". It matches the Rfam family "Bacterial small subunit ribosomal RNA", at positions 15 to 518 of the family's 1533-position model. The record is from RNAcentral.